RNAcentral lists this ribosomal RNA (433 nucleotides) under uncultured bacterium. Its description in RNAcentral is "bacterial SSU rRNA". It matches the Rfam family "Bacterial small subunit ribosomal RNA", at positions 29 to 507 of the family's 1533-position model. The record is from RNAcentral.
AACGAACGCUGGCGGCAUGCCUAACACAUGCAAGUCGAACGAAGGCUUCGGCCUUAGUGGCGCACGGGUGCGUAACGCGUGGGAAUCUGCCCUUGGGUUCGGAAUAACUCAGAGAAAUUUGAGCUAAUACCGGAUGAUGACGUAAGUCCAAAGAUUUAUCGCCCAAGGAUGAGCCCGCGUAAGAUUAGCUAGUUGGUGGGGUAAAGGCCUACCAAGGCGACGAUCUUUAGCUGGUCUGAGAGGAUGAUCAGCCACACUGGGACUGAGACACGGCCCAGACUCCUACGGGAGGCAGCAGUGGGGAAUAUUGGACAAUGGGCGAAAGCCUGAUCCAGCAAUGCCGCGUGAGUGAUGAAGGCCUUAGGGUUGUAAAGCUCUCUUACCAGGGAUGAUAAUGACAGUACCUGGAGAAUAAGCUCCGGCUAACUCCGUG